RNAcentral lists this ribosomal RNA (775 nucleotides) under Bacillus licheniformis. RNAcentral describes it as "bacterial SSU rRNA". It matches the Rfam family "Bacterial small subunit ribosomal RNA", at positions 1 to 761 of the family's 1533-position model. The record is from RNAcentral. Lineage: Bacteria; Bacillati; Bacillota; Bacilli; Caryophanales; Bacillaceae.
UGGAGAGUUUGAUCCUGGCUCAGGACGAACGCUGGCGGCGUGCCUAAUACAUGCAAGUCGAGCGGACCGACGGGAGCUUGCUCCCUUAGGUCAGCGGCGGACGGGUGAGUAACACGUGGGUAACCUGCCUGUAAGACUGGGAUAACUCCGGGAAACCGGGGCUAAUACCGGAUGCUUGAUUGAACCGCAUGGUUCAAUCAUAAAAGGUGGCUUUUAGCUACCACUUACAGAUGGACCCGCGGCGCAUUAGCUAGUUGGUGAGGUAACGGCUCACCAAGGCGACGAUGCGUAGCCGACCUGAGAGGGUGAUCGGCCACACUGGGACUGAGACACGGCCCAGACUCCUACGGGAGGCAGCAGUAGGGAAUCUUCCGCAAUGGACGAAAGUCUGACGGAGCAACGCCGCGUGAGUGAUGAAGGUUUUCGGAUCGUAAAACUCUGUUGUUAGGGAAGAACAAGUACCGUUCGAAUAGGGCGGUACCUUGACGGUACCUAACCAGAAAGCCACGGCUAACUACGUGCCAGCAGCCGCGGUAAUACGUAGGUGGCAAGCGUUGUCCGGAAUUAUUGGGCGUAAAGCGCGCGCAGGCGGUUUCUUAAGUCUGAUGUGAAAGCCCCCGGCUCAACCGGGGAGGGUCAUUGGAAACUGGGGAACUUGAGUGCAGAAGAGGAGAGUGGAAUUCCACGUGUAGCGGUGAAAUGCGUAGAGAUGUGGAGGAACACCAGUGGCGAAGGCGACUCUCUGGUCUGUAACUGACGCUGAGGCGCGAAAGCG